Molecule: ribosomal RNA, 403 nt
Filed under: uncultured Eubacteriales bacterium
Lineage: Bacteria; Bacillati; Bacillota; Clostridia; Eubacteriales
Description: bacterial SSU rRNA
Rfam family: Bacterial small subunit ribosomal RNA
Source: RNAcentral
UGGGGAAUAUUGCACAAUGGGGGAAACCCUGAUGCAGCGACGCCGCGUGAGUGAAGAAGUAUUUCGGUAUGUAAAGCUCUAUCAGCAGGGAAGAAAAUGACGGUACCUGACUAAGAAGCCCCGGCUAACUACGUGCCAGCAGCCGCGGUAAUACGUAGGGGGCAAGCGUUAUCCGGAUUUACUGGGUGUAAAGGGAGCGUAGGUGGCAUGGUAAGCCAGAAGUGAAAACCCAGGGCUCAACUCUGUGGAUUGCUUUUGGAACUAUCAAGCUAGAGUGCUGGAGGGGUAAGCGGAAUUCCUAGUGUAGCGGUGAAAUGCGUAGAUAUUAGGAGGAACACCGGUGGCGAAGGCGGCUUACUGGACAGAAACUGACACUGAGGCUCGAAAGCGUGGGGAGCAAACA